This 253-nucleotide ribosomal RNA is filed under the name uncultured bacterium. RNAcentral describes it as "partial 16S ribosomal RNA". It matches the Rfam family "Bacterial small subunit ribosomal RNA", at positions 524 to 776 of the family's 1533-position model. The record is from RNAcentral.
UACGUAGGGGGCAAGCGUUGUCCGGAAUCAUUGGGCGUAAAGAGCGUGUAGGCGGCCUUACAGGUCAGCUGUGAAAACUCGAGGCUCAACCUCGAGACGUCGGUUGAAACCGUAUGGCUAGAGUCCGGAAGAGGAGAGUGGAAUUCCCGGUGUAGCGGUGAAAUGCGCAGAUAUCGGGAAGAACACCCGUGGCGAAGGCGGCUCUCUGGGACGGUACUGACGCUGAGACGCGAAAGCGUGGGGAGCGAAUGGG